GCAUUGGUGGUUCAGUGGUAGAGUUCUUGCCUUCCAUGCAGGAAACCUGGGUUCAGUUCCCAGCCAAAGUA
Molecule: transfer RNA, 71 nt
Filed under: Loxodonta africana (African savanna elephant)
Lineage: Eukaryota; Metazoa; Chordata; Mammalia; Proboscidea; Elephantidae
Rfam family: tRNA
About the family: Transfer RNA (tRNA) molecules are approximately 80 nucleotides in length. Their secondary structure includes four short double-helical elements and three loops (D, anti-codon, and T loops). Further hydrogen bonds mediate the characteristic L-shaped molecular structure. tRNAs have two regions of fundamental functional importance: the anti-codon, which is responsible for specific mRNA codon recognition, and the 3' end, to which the tRNAs corresponding amino acid is attached (by aminoacyl-tRNA synthetases). tRNAs cope with the degeneracy of the genetic code in two manners: having more than one tRNA (with a specific anti-codon) for a particular amino acid; and 'wobble' base-pairing, i.e. permitting non-standard base-pairing at the 3rd anti-codon position.
Source: Rfam by way of RNAcentral